AGGAGCCUCAGGACAGGAGCUGUCUGCUCUAGUGGAGGAUCCACACUGGACACUGGACACUGUCAGGUUGGAGCCCAGUGGAGUCCGAUGGUUGAGACCAGGUCUGAGGAAGUGUACGUGGAUUUACAUUGGAUUAAAUAUUAAAGACUGCCCACUGUGACGACCUGCCCACCUACUGUUAGUGAAGGUCAACAGGAAAUUUCUGUGAACUCACCCUGGAUCCAAACACAGCGAACAGAGAACUGAAACUGUCUG
This is a long non-coding RNA of Sphaeramia orbicularis (orbiculate cardinalfish), 255 nucleotides long. RefSeq lists it as uncharacterized. Lineage: Eukaryota; Metazoa; Chordata; Actinopteri; Kurtiformes; Apogonidae. The transcript has 3 exons. The record is from RefSeq and is a predicted model, not a curated record.